UGCUGGUCCAAGUGCAGUGAUGUUUGCAACUAACUGAUUACAGCCAGUUAUAGAUUCCUUUGUUCCUUCUCCAGUCUCACUGCUUCACUUGACCAGCCAAA
RNAcentral lists this Y RNA (101 nucleotides) under Microcebus murinus (gray mouse lemur). RNAcentral describes it as "Y RNA (ENSMICG00000042235.1)". It matches the Rfam family "Y RNA". Rfam says of the family: Y RNAs are components of the Ro ribonucleoprotein particle (Ro RNP), in association with Ro60 and La proteins. The Y RNAs and Ro60 and La proteins are well conserved, but the function of the Ro RNP is not known. In humans the RNA component can be one of four small RNAs -- hY1, hY3, hY4 and hY5. Lineage: Eukaryota; Metazoa; Chordata; Mammalia; Primates; Cheirogaleidae. The record is from Rfam by way of RNAcentral.